CUUAUACUCCCUCCAUCCGAAAUUACUUGUCGCACGAAUUUAUAAAAAUGGAUGUAUUUAGAACUAAAAUACAUCUAGAUACAUCCAUUCCCGUGACAAGUAUUUUCGGACGGAGAGAGCAUUUA
Hordeum vulgare subsp. vulgare (domesticated barley) is the source of this 125-nucleotide non-coding RNA. The record is from Rfam. Lineage: Eukaryota; Viridiplantae; Streptophyta; Magnoliopsida; Poales; Poaceae.